UUUUUCAAGGACAAGCACCUAGGGGUGGACAAACGGUCGGUUUCGGUCGGCGACGGACCGAAAAUGCCAAUCCGUUCAAACCCACGGUUGAGCUUUCCAGACCCAUUUUCGUCCGUUAGCAGCUUCGGUUUUUUUCGGAUUUCGGUUUCGACGGGUGACGGUUAUGUUGGGUGGGUUACUUCGGAUACUUCAUUGAGUCAUUAUCUUCAUUAUUAUUUGUAACCAAAAAUCCAUCACAGAAGAAAAGAUAAUAAAAAUUGACAGAGAGUAAAAAAGAGAUGAAGAGAGAAGAUUGUUGUUGCACAACAUAUGAAGAGAUAACAAAGAGAUGCAAAAUCGAAAAUAAAUUCAAACAGUGUGAUUGGUACUACAAUAGUAUGAGGAAGUGAAUCUCAUAGUCUCAUGAAUCAUAAUAAAAGAUAUAAGAAAAGUAAGGCAGGUGGGGACGUGGGUGGUUUGUCUUGAGAGAGAAGAAGGGAGAAGCAAGGUCUCAAUCUUAAAGGGUUUAGUUUACAAUUACAUAAAGAAAUUAAUUUUAGAGACGGUGAGAGAAAAUACUCCUUCCGUUUUAAAAUAAGUGUCGUUUUAGCCAAUUACACAUAUAUUAAAGAAUGCAAUGAAAUAAUCAUUAGACGUAACACUUUUACUAACUGCCCUUAUUUUAUAAAAAAUAAUAAGCUUAAAGUUGCAUUGAAAAUUGUGUGAGAAAAAAGUUGAGGAAGGUAAAAUUGAAAGAAAAAAAUUAAAAUGAUAUUAAAAAUGUAAAGUGACAUUUAUUUUAAAAUAAAUAUUUUUGGCUAAAGUGACAUUUAUUUUAAAAUAGAGGAACUAAUAAACAAUUGGCAAGAAUGAGUGAGUAUUUUCAUUUUACAAGAUCAUACAAAAAAUUAAAAUAAGAAUAAUUAGUAAGUUGGUUACUUGCUGCUGUAAUGAACUAUUGAUACGCUUUCCAAGAAGAUAUUGUUACUUUUUUUCAAAGUGUGGGUCUUAAGACACUGUUUUCAUGUCACGUCUCUGAAAAAAUCAGAUAUGUAUACAAUGGGCAUUGCUAGCGGUCGGGUUUCGGAUUUCAAUGGAUUGGUUUUUGAUAUCCGAGACCGUCCAUUUAUACUCACACAAAACCGUGAUUGUUCACCCGAUAACCCGCCGACCCGUUCAAACCCAACCGUUUAUCCAUUUUUCAAGUCGGUUUUUCGGGUUACGGUCGGGUUUUGGAUUCUUGUCCAGCCCUACAAGCACCUAGGGGUGGAUGUCUGGUGGGUCCCGAUCAAGUCUUGAACAGCCAACCAAAGCACAUUUAGAGAGAAGAAAAGUAUAAAACUUCAUAUCUGUAUUAUAAUAUGACCGAUGAAAACCCAAGAGGAGACGGAGUAAGAGACGAUUAUCCUCUGUUUUAUCAAUUAAAUCAUGGUAGUAUCACACAGAAGUCUCCUUGUAUCCAUAAAUGCAAGCCAAGAGGGAAAGAAAAACCAAGAGGAGGCAAUUAUGGUGUUUAUUACUACUUGAACCUUGAAGAUGGAAUGAGUGAGGUUGUCUUUCUACGUUGAAGAAGGAAGGAUUAUUGAUAUAUAAUUUAAUAGCCUAUAGUUCCUAUGUUGC
RNAcentral lists this long non-coding RNA (1599 nucleotides) under Medicago truncatula (barrel medic). RNAcentral's name for it is "long non-coding RNA (MTRU_LNC000185)". Lineage: Eukaryota; Viridiplantae; Streptophyta; Magnoliopsida; Fabales; Fabaceae. The record is from RNAcentral.